UACGGAGGGUCCGAGCGUUAUUCGGAAUCACUCGGCGUAAAGCGAGCGUAGGCGGCGUGAUAAGCCGGUUGUGAAAGCCCCGGGCUCAACCUGGGAACCGCAUCCGGAACUGUCACGCUAGAGUGAAGGAGAGGAAGGUAGAAUUCCCGGUGUAGCGGUGAAAUGCGUAGAGAUCGGGAGGAAUACCAGUGGCGAAGGCGGCCUUCUGGACUGACACUGACGCUGAGGUGCGAAAGCGUGGGUAGCAAACAGG
RNAcentral lists this unclassified non-coding RNA (253 nucleotides) under uncultured Halomonadaceae bacterium. RNAcentral's name for it is "contains 16S-23S intergenic spacer region". It matches the Rfam family "Bacterial small subunit ribosomal RNA", at positions 524 to 776 of the family's 1533-position model. The record is from RNAcentral. Lineage: Bacteria; Pseudomonadati; Pseudomonadota; Gammaproteobacteria; Oceanospirillales; Halomonadaceae.